RNAcentral lists this long non-coding RNA (683 nucleotides) under Brassica rapa (field mustard). RNAcentral describes it as "long non-coding RNA (BRAP_LNC005208)". The record is from RNAcentral. Lineage: Eukaryota; Viridiplantae; Streptophyta; Magnoliopsida; Brassicales; Brassicaceae.
AAACAUUCCACAUUUUUAAAAAAAAAUCGUUGGUGUAACAUUUUGUUACACAAAUAUGCAAAUAAUAAUAAAAUCAUAUGAGUAAAGACCUCAUUUAAUAAUAUCCAUAUUAAAAGUAUACUAUAAAUUUAUGUUAAUAUUAUUUAAAUUUAAUUAUAUAUCAUAUACAAUAGAUAAGAUUGAUUGUUUUGAUUUAUUUACCCUAAAACGAUUGCGAAUAAACAAGAGCGGUCAUAUGAUUUAUAGACGCACGCCAAUUUAUUGCAUAAUAAUAACUGAUUUCUUAGUUAUUUAAUAUAAAAUUAUUAUUUUAUUAUUUCAUAAUAUGCAGAAAACAUAAAAUAAGUAAUAAAUAUAAAAUAUUUAUUCCGCACAAGGCGUAUAUCUUAACCUAAGUAUGCAUUUCUUUAAUAAUUUUAAAUCUUAAACAUUUUCUAAAUUUCAGGCCAGAAAAAAAUAACGAAAUGAAAAUAAACUCAAAAAUCGAUAUUUAUAUCGAGCAAUAACCAAAAUGAAAAAAAAACGACACAAAAAUGAAAAAAAUAUUGAAGAUAAAUAAGAUUGUCACGUGAACGUAAACUUCUCAUAACCAUAAUUAAAUUUUAAAUUGCUAAAUUAUAAUAUAAAACCGAGCUGAUAUUGUUUCAUUGUAACCAAAUAGUAGACCUGAGAUUCUUCAGCCU